CUACGGGAUGCUCCAGUGAGGAAUAUUGCACAAUGGGGGGAACCCUGACGCAGCAACGCCGCGUGGAGGAUGACGCAUUUCGGUGUGUAAACUCCUUUUAUAUGUCAAGAAAAUGACGGUAGCAUAUGAAUAAGCACCGGCUAACUCCGUGCCAGCAGGCCGCGGUAAUACGGAGGGUGCAAGCGUUACUCGGAAUCACUGGGCGUAAAGGACGCGUAGGCGGGUUGGAAAGUCAGGUGUGAAAUCCUACAGCUUAACUGUAGAACUGCACUUGAAACUUCUAAUCUAGAGUAUGGGAGGGGGAGAUGGAAUUAGUGGUGUAGGGGUAAAAUCCGUAGAUAUCACUAGGAAUACCUAAAGCGAAGGCGAUCUCCUGGAACAUUACUGACGCUAAGGCGUGAAAGCGUGGGGAGCAAACAGGAUUAGAUACCCCCGUAGUC
Molecule: ribosomal RNA, 440 nt
Filed under: uncultured bacterium
Lineage: Bacteria
Description: partial 16S ribosomal RNA
Rfam family: Bacterial small subunit ribosomal RNA
Source: RNAcentral